Molecule: transfer RNA, 73 nt
Filed under: Urocitellus parryii (Arctic ground squirrel)
Lineage: Eukaryota; Metazoa; Chordata; Mammalia; Rodentia; Sciuridae
Also listed under: 2 other names
Description: Spermophilus parryii (Arctic ground squirrel) tRNA
Rfam family: tRNA
About the family: Transfer RNA (tRNA) molecules are approximately 80 nucleotides in length. Their secondary structure includes four short double-helical elements and three loops (D, anti-codon, and T loops).
Source: Rfam by way of RNAcentral
GGAGAUAUAGCUUAGUUGGCAAAGUGCUUGCCUAGUACGUAUAAGGCCCUAGGUUCAAUCUCUAGCACCACCA